Molecule: ribosomal RNA, 195 nt
Filed under: uncultured marine bacterium
Lineage: Bacteria
Description: partial 16S ribosomal RNA
Rfam family: Bacterial small subunit ribosomal RNA
Source: RNAcentral
GUCGGUCGUGAAAGUUCAGGGCUCAACCCUGAAAUGUCGAUCGAUACUGUUGUGACUAGGAUACGGUAGAGGUGAGUGGAAUUCCGAGUGUAGCGGUGAAAUGCGUAGAUAUUCGGAGGAACACCAAUUGCGAAGGCAGCUCACUGGGCCGCUAUCGACGCUGAGGAGCGAAAGCUAGGGGAGCAAACAGGAUUA